RNAcentral lists this long non-coding RNA (2434 nucleotides) under Rattus norvegicus (Norway rat). Its description in RNAcentral is "long non-coding RNA NONRATT030340". The record is from RNAcentral. Lineage: Eukaryota; Metazoa; Chordata; Mammalia; Rodentia; Muridae.
UUCCCCAAACGGAAGAUUAUGAAAACCACAACCUUUUUGGGUUUUUUUUUUUUCCAAUUCAAAAGUUCAUUUCUCUUAAAUAGAACUUUGUGGAAUCUCAAGUCAGAAAACUGGGUGUAUAAUCUUGAGCUUCUAAGUUCUGACGCAGCCUGGAAAUGCUCACCAAAAGCCUUUGUUUUGUGAUGGACUACCUUGUACACUUCUGAGAGGAACAGAGGUGACGUUCCUCUAACUAGAAGCCUGGAGACUAGAACCCCCACAAUCCCGGAACACACACGUCAUGCUUACACACACACACAUGCUAGGUCAAGUUCUUGCUUGGUAAAUUACCUCCUGACAGAGGAACCUUCCUGGGUCAUGAAGAGAGCACACCAUCCACUGUGGUGCCCACGGUGGACAUGUUGCUGUCUUGUAGGUAACUUAGGAUGUAGACUGAAUAAAGCCUUUUGUCAAUUCGUAUAUGGAGGCAACAGUCUGAAGUCCCCUGGCCAGCUCACAAAAGUUAAUUCUUCAUUAGUCUAUAAAUGCAUUCUGUUAAGUAAUAAAUAUUUUAGUUGGUUUUUCAUUAACACUGUUUUAGCUUUUACUUUGUGGAUAGUUACUGGUCAAGAUGUAUUUUAGUGACAUUUGGGGCUAAUCUUGGCAUUAUCUACAUUGAAGCCACGAAUGUAAUUAAUGGUGUGCAGUUAUUUUAAAACUUUUACAGAUCAUUUCAUUAUUUUGGUAAUUAUGAAAAUAUAUCCUGAAGUGGGGUAGUUAUACUGGUAGAAGAUUAAUGAAUGAGAUGUACGUAGACAAUCUUCCUGUUGUAUUUUUUCCUUUGCUUUGAGGUUUAGAACAGGUUUUUUGAAUAUAUGCAUGCUAUCAGUUUGAAUAGUUCUUACUGCAAAGAUCCACUGUUAGCUGACGUAUGAGCUAAGGAGAGAAUUUAGAAAAUCUGUUCAUUAAGAUUCUGUUUACACUUGCCAGAAAUGCGUAUUUUAGUUUAAUUAAAUAUUACCAGCUUUUAGUUAUGUCAGUACCUAUCAGAAAAUGAGUCUGUUUUGAUUUCACACAUCUCAACAGUUAAUUCGUUGCAGGGACUCAGGCUCUGAUGACCUCUCCUGUGUCUGGAUUUAUAAUCAGGCAGCAGGGAGCCUUUUUAAGCUAAAGAGUGAUUAUCUUUCGUAGAAGGAGAAGCAAAACCUUGACUUUUGAACUUGCUAUUUAUUCUCCCCAUAUGUGGUCUUUGGUCUUUAACAAUUCUAAUGAGGUCUGAGUUUGUUCCCCAUAAAUCCCAGCACCACUGAAGAGAUGCUAGGUGUAAGACACAGAGGCAGCCUUGCAUUCUAAUGGCACUCACGUGUGUAUAAAACUCCUUCUCUGUAGAAAAUGUUUGUUUCCCUCCAGUGUGUCAACUUGCUUCUGAUGUGGCAUUUUUUUUGUUUUAAUCCCAAUCAGUUAAAAACAGAUCUACUGCGCAAGUUCUAGGAAUACCUUUUUCAUAACCAAACGGGUUGCUAGUUUAAUUUGAUGGAAAUGAAAUUUAAGAAAAAGCUGUUUACCAUUAGAAAACCACAUUUCUUCUUAUAUAUUGAACUGUAUCAUUUUAUAUCCAUUUCUCCACUACUAAAAAAUGUUAUUUCAUAAUAUUUUAACUGGUUUUUAACCCAAAACUAAUUUAUAAGACAGUAUGUAUAGUAAUAGUUGCUUAAGCGAAUAAACAAAAGUUUAAUUUUUAUAUACGUCACACUAUAUUUUAAAUAGUUACAAAAAAAGACAAAAGAAGGGAACUCCAUCCUUGAUAGAGACGGUACAAUUUCAGUUCAAAGUUGUAGUAAUCUUGGAGUGUUGCCGUCUAGUUGUCAACGGUUUCAGAGUGUACAAUUGAUUUUUUUUAAACGUUGCAUUCUUUGAACCUAAAGUCCAGCACUAUAAAAAUGCUUUAGCUUGGGGUGGGGGGGUGCACUUAUUCUCCAAGACGCUGACUAAUACAGAAACCCUGACGCAACAGAACCCGGAAAACUGCCUUGGUUCAUUUGUAGAAAUCUGUAGAAAUAUCAUAUCCAGCCUCAAAGCAUUAAUCUUUUAAAAGAAGCAGCCAGGAAAAGCAUCACCUCAAGUGAUCCUGGGGAGGUUGUGGGAUGUGCUCUCAUUAGAUGCUUUGAAAUGAGGCUUAAAAUACUUUUUUCUGGGCAAUAUAGUCCCUUUUUUUCUUAGACUGUCAUAAAUACAUGUGAACACAUUUAAUGCAGGGCUUUUUAGCCUCUCCAAAUGUCAACAGUAUUUUCAGAAAAAAGCCUAUGAAAUAUAUUGCUGUAGUGGAAAAUUCCGGCCCUUUGUCUUUAAUGCCCUUUUGAAUGAAUAAAGAAAAUCUACCCAGUUUGUAGUUUCUAUAUUUCUGUGAAUCUUUUGACCUUGCAAUGGGUUGCAAUAAAAGAGAAACAAAACGUCC